UUUCAGCUAUGUCUGGGCUGGUGGUGGCUGGUAGAUACAGGCCCUGAGGCUCUCUUUCCUCACAGCUGUCACAACACAACGUGAUCCACCCUAGUCUGUACUUCAGAGUGAGCUCAAAAUCCUCAUGCAGUGCUUUCUGUAGAGGAAAACCUGGGGUUACACGGGUCAUAAGCUGAGUAUGAGUCAAGUUCUGUGACAGGAUUGCAAAACAGACAAAUGAUGUUCUGGGAAGUGUUAAUAAUAGAGCCAUACAUAAGCCAAAGAAGGUCAUUUUUCUGGUCUGCUUGCCACUGGAUUGUUCUUCCACAGCUGGAAAAGAGAGUCCUGUUUUGGAGCUUGCAUUCCUUGGCUGCCUCGGGAUGCACAAAUUGCAGUGGAGGCUGGAACCUCCUUGUGCCUGACUACCAAUCUGCAAAACCUGCCUUGGACAAGGACCGUGCUGCCUUACUCCAUGCAUUUCUCACUUCAUUUCUCGCUUCCAUCUUGGACCACUGCACUUUUUCUCAACAGAACAAAGGUCAGAUUCUGGCAUUUCCAUCAAACUUUUCAAGGAAACAGAAAGUCCUGCCUGAGCGUCCACAGAUGAAUCACUAA
This 594-nucleotide long non-coding RNA is filed under the name Anas platyrhynchos platyrhynchos (common mallard). Its description in RNAcentral is "lncRNA (ENSAPLG00000018951.1)". The record is from RNAcentral. Lineage: Eukaryota; Metazoa; Chordata; Aves; Anseriformes; Anatidae.